RNAcentral lists this ribosomal RNA (372 nucleotides) under uncultured bacterium. Its description in RNAcentral is "bacterial SSU rRNA". It matches the Rfam family "Bacterial small subunit ribosomal RNA", at positions 524 to 898 of the family's 1533-position model. The record is from RNAcentral.
UACAGAGGGUGCUAGCGUUGUUCGGAAUGACUGGGCGUAAAGGGCGCGUAGGCGGCUUUUUAAGUCAGGCGUGAAAGCCCCGGGCUCAACCUGGGAAUAGCGUUUGAUACUGGAAGGCUUGAGUGCGGAAGAGGAGAGUGGAAUUCCUAGUGUAGAAGUGAAAUUCGUAGAUAUUAGGAGGAACACCGGAGGCGAAGGCGGCUCUCUGGUCCGCAACUGACGCUGAGGCGCGAAAGCGUGGGGAGCAAACAGGAUUAGAUACCCUGGUAGUCCACGCUGUAAACGAUGAGUGCUAGACGUUGGGUGUAAAAGCUCAGUGUCGCAGCUAACGCAUUAAGCACUCCGCCUGGGGAGUACGGUCGCAAGAUUAAA